This 276-nucleotide ribosomal RNA is filed under the name uncultured bacterium. RNAcentral describes it as "partial 16S ribosomal RNA". It matches the Rfam family "Bacterial small subunit ribosomal RNA", at positions 77 to 353 of the family's 1533-position model. The record is from RNAcentral.
CAAACUGGAGAUGGCGACCGGCGCACGGGUGAGUAACACGUAUCCAACCUGCCGAUAACUCGGGGAUAGCCUUUCGAAAGAAAGAUUAAUACCCGAUGGCAUAAUAGAACCGCAUGGUUUGAUUAUUAAAGAAUUUCGGUUAUCGAUGGGGAUGCGUUCCAUUAGGCAGCUGGUGGGGUAAUGGCCCACCAAACCUUCGAUGGAUAGGGGUUCUGAGAGGAAGGUCCCCCACAUUGGAACUGAGACACGGUCCAAACUCCUACGGGAGGCAGCAUG